This is a non-coding RNA of Misgurnus anguillicaudatus (oriental weatherfish), 1419 nucleotides long. The record is from RefSeq and is a predicted model, not a curated record. Lineage: Eukaryota; Metazoa; Chordata; Actinopteri; Cypriniformes; Cobitidae.
AAAAAAUGGACUUAGUGGGUCUUUGAAUUUAAAUAAAAUAAACAUGUAUAUGCAACACAAAAUAUUUAUAUUCCUUGUGUAAACAUAAUUUAAUUGAUUAGGAUUAAAAUGUUUUGUUUGAAUGUAAAAUGAACACAUUAUUCUCACAUUGAUUAAAAUUGAUUGAAUUGAAUACUUAAAGCAAUAAAAUUGGGUUUGCACACAAAACGGCACCUCCUGAGCAGCAGGGGCAGUAUAGCUCAAUGAGAAGGAAAUCGAUUGCCAUAAAAGAAGAAUAAAGAUCGUUUGUUUUGGGCGCCAAAAUGAAGACUCAGCAGCAGUCAGUCAGUCAGAAGAACUCUCUCAGACGGACACCACGUUAUUGAAGUCCAUCAUCCUUUCAUGCGCUACAGCAUUGAUAAAUGCUGAAUUUAAAAGAAUCACUACUGUCUAAUGUUCCUGCGUGUCACCUGGACCUCCAAUCCAAAAACCUGACGAAACUCUUCUAUCAGAAAGGAGGACAGCUAGCAAAAAGACUUCAAACAAUUAAUGAUCAAAUGACAGAAGGCAUGGUUGAAGUUAGCAUCAGUGAGGUCAUUUGAAGACACCAAUGUUGGGAUUUGUGCUCUAAAACAACAUGCUUCUUGUGAUGAAGAAGACGAUCUUUGUAUAGUCCUGGAAGCCAUGAAGGUGUUGCAACAUCGUGUUUGAGCUGAUGUAUGCCUUAAACCUUUAUUUUUGAGGAAAUCCAAACUGCAUUGAGAGUAACUUUAACGAACAGUUUCUUUCAGUGAAAGGAUCAGAAAGACUGUGCUGCUCAUUUUUGAAUUUUUUAUCUGUUUUAAGUGUUUUCUCUUAUUAAUACAUUAACAGUUUGCUGCUCGGAGUCGAUUUUGGAAAUGGUUGUUGUAUUUUGUUUUUGUUGAAUCUUUGAUUAACAGUUUAUAAAUGCUGUAGCUCUGACUUUCUGAAGGAGUGAUAUUUUCCAGUUUGUAAAUCCAUUUUAUAAAUAAUAGUACUUACUGUUUUGCAUGUCUCUUUGGAAUGCAGUGUUUGUGUUUUAGCACUUCUAAAUCUACUGUGAUAGUAACUAUUUUAAACAUUUGGGUCAGUUUCACAGAUGGGGCUUUUCCUAGUCCCAGACUUUUGCAAUGCCAUAUAUCAGUGCCAUUGUUUUGUGUAAAGAUGUACUCCAGUGUUGUUUUUGUUAGGUAGGUUUGUUUGUAAACUUUAUUUUUGUAAAAAUAUCCUAAUAUAACUAGGGCCUAGUCAUGGAUUAAUCUACAACCUGUUUGGGAAAUUGCCCCUUUAUGUAUGUACUGCAUGUGCUGAUUGUUGUAAUAGUUAUUGACUGUUAUUGAAUUAAUGUGUAGUGAUUUAAAUGAAUUGAUGAUCUGAAAGCAGUGGUUUGCCUCAAUAUCACUAAACAUUUGUACAAAA